CCAAACCUCUUGUGGCUUGAAUUUCUCAUUAUAUUCAUACUGAUUAGGGAAGGUCAGCAUAGGAGGUAGGUAAAUUUGUUGUCUGGAGAAGGGUUGCAAUAAAUUGAUUUGUAAAACACUGCAAAUUGUUCACAACCAUCCAUAAUGUGCUCCUGUGCACUUCCUGCCACUUGCCAGAAGCAAGUGGAGUUGAUAUGUCUUUUGAGGUUAAUAAGUUUAGAAAGCAACGAAUUGAUGCAUUUUGAUCAGCUUGAUUUUCUUGAUCCUCGGUAUCUACUUUUUCAGCAAGCAUGAUCCGAGUAUAUCUAGUAGGCAAUGAAGGUUUCUUCUUCAAUAUUGAAGUCAAUGAUUGCCAAGAUUUACAAACAGUAGCAAAGGAAGUAAAAUCCUCUAUUACAGUUAAACAUUGUGCGAUAACAACCAAAAUGUCCAUUGGAAGAUUGGUCCAAUCUGCCAUGUUCAGUUAUCAACUGCAACCCAUAAAUUCAAGAUGAAAGUAAUGAAAUAAAUGAAAUAGGGAAAAAGACGAUAAAUUUUUUUUUUUUUUCAGUCCCACAACAAAAAUUUAUACUCAUGAAGAAAAUUAGGUAUGUCAAUGCAGCAACGAGCAUUCAGAUUUCCCUUUUCUUCCAUUCAUUCUUUGAGUUCGAGCUAUAUUAAAGCAAAAGUGAAUUUUCAUUACAAUAAUUCAGAAAUACAGUUUAUUGAUUAGUUGGAUUAGUUAAAAUUAUCAUUAAUUAAUUAUGAGAUACUUAUAUGUAAAAUGAUAGAAAAGUAUUUUAGAAUAUUUGACAAAAGAUUAACAUCAAACUAUAUACUUAUGAGUUUGUUUGGGAGUGAUUUUGAGAAUUGAAUUUUUGACCGUUAGGAGAAAAGUGGGAUCCAUCUGUGAAAGAAGAAGUCAAAUAUGACGGCUGAAAUAGUGAAAUAACGGUCAAAAAAUCAAAUUUUUGGGUGAAAAAUGGGCCCAAACAGGCCCUAUAUAUCUCUACUUUCUUCCCGGCAUAAUCCAGCGUAAAAGGUUCACAUCGCGAGCCUCAUACCUUGAGUAAUCACAAUCCAUUGCAUACAUGUAACAGCAUAAACUUAAAUUAAAAGGAAAGGAUAUCUAGAAACAGAGAGAAAUUAAAUGAGCAAAUAAGUAUUAAUAUUGAGAAAUUGAUAACAAAAUACUACUGCAAGAAUAAAAGUAAAAGAGUUGGCUGAAUUUUUUUACAAUGUCAAGGUAACAUGUAGUUCAAUGAAAAUUGAAAAAUACAUGCUACUAUGACCAUUUUUCAGUAAAACGGUUCAUCCGUUAUCCGUAAAUUCACUUUCUAUGUAAGAUGAAACAACUUUUUACAGAAAUGACACACGAUAAAAGAGCAUCCAGGGUUCAGUCUUUCAUCAGAUUUCAUCACAAUCAAUGAAAUAAAAAUCAAAGUACUUUUACCAGUUACAAUUAAAUCUUAAUAUAAAUAUAGCGAUAUGUAUAAAUUAAAUUUAAAAAACAUGAACAGAGUUUUGAAAUUGACAAAUAAUUUUGGAGAGAGAUUUACUGAGAAGGGAAGAAUAUGGAUCUGAGAAAUUUGAGCAAAUUGUAGUAUUGUAGCUACUUUUAUAAUUGGGGUUGGAGAAUUAAGAUUUUUAUGAAUCUUUGUUGGUGUAGGUUUCGUAAUCUAAGUCGCCAUUAGGUUUUUUGUUCUGUUCAUAACACUAUGAGGAAAAGAACAAAAUUGUUUGAAUAAAAGUAUAAAUAUUCUAGAUAUUGUUUGAAAUCAAAAUACUAGUAAGAAUAGAACUAAAGGUGUUGCCCCUUAUGGGGUGGCCGAAUUGGUGGAGUAUGUGAGCGAGGAGACUUUUGGUCACAAGUUCGAUUCCCUGUACCAACACUUUCUCGGUCGAGUCUGUCGCAUCGGGCUUGUCUAAUGCGUUUACCUGGCCUGCGUGGUUUGCAGGCUAUUGCAUUAGUCCAAGGGUUUACCUAGUGCGCACCCAAAGGAUAACGGCUGCGGAUUUGCCCGUCAUAAAAAAAAAAAAGGGUGUUCGUUGAAAUAUUUUACAAUGUCAACGUAAGUCAUACUUCAUGGAAAUUGAUAUAACUUUUUCGAAAAAUGCCACUUGACCUUCAUGGAUGAUACUCCCAAUGACCGCGCCCUCACUUGGGAUGCAUGGGUCCCGUGCGAAUAAAAUACAACAUCACUACAGUGCCCGAAUUUUUUUCACAGAGGGAAUGACCAACUCUCACAAUGGUUGGGCCCCACUUUUUUUUUUGGACUUUUUUAUUCACGCGGAACCCAUGGCUUGUGAGAGGAUGUCAAUCAUUUGGUCAUCCAUUUUCGAGCAAAAUAGUUUAAUUCAAAAAUAAUCCCCAACCCUCAUAUUUGUGUGUGUGGUUAUCCCCGCGGGUCGUGUAGCAUUACUAAACUUUUUUAGUAAAAUGGUUCAUCCGUAAGUUCACUUCUUUUUGCAAGAUAAAAUUCUUUUUACACCACAAAAAGAACAUCCAAAAUUUUGCCUUUCAUAUAUAAAGGUUGAAUUCCAACCUUGAGGGUCCCCAUCGUUCUACCCCUAGAGUUUUGUGAGGCAGGUAAGUCGCGGGAUGUGCCCCAACAUGUCAGGGAACAAGAUCUGCCUGUACACUGCGCCUACAAAGGAGUCCAAUUCCAUGUUUCAGGAAUUGAACCCCCCACACUGCGGCUGCCAGCAAGGCGUGAGAUAACCUCAUUCCUGUCAUUUGCACCACUAGGCUAUGCCCCAGAGGGGCUUUGCCUUUCAUAUAUUACUGUAAAGCCGGCCGUCACAAUAGAAGAAAAAAAAUCAGUCUUUCUUCCAAUUUCGAUUAAUCCUGUUUUGUUCGAAUUAAGAUCUAAAUUUGAAUUUAAAUCAAAGUCAACAAUUAAUUUUAACCAAAUGUUUUAUAAAAUAGGCAACUUUUUAACCAUACAUUUCAUCAACUUUUAUCAAAAUCUAUCAAAAAUUUGACUUUAAUUCCACUAAAUAGGAGCUAAUGUAGCCGUAUUUGGUGAGAAUUAAAAUCAAAAUUUUAGUAGAUUUUGAUAAAAGUUGAUAAAAUAUGAAAUUGAAAAAGUUGUGGAACCAAUAAAAUAUAUAAUUGAAAUUAAUUUUUGACUUUGAGAGCAUAACAGAAAAUGUAUCGAUAUGUAUAAAUUGAAAAGGAUUAAACCCCUUUAUCCGGGCUACAUGGUCCACCCACCUUUCACUGGGGCAGCUGUGCAACAUGGUUCAAAGAAUUGAAAUUGAUAAGUACCUUUGUAGAGAGAGAUUAGUUGUACGGGGAGAACAGGGAUAUUGGAUACACGAGCAAGUUAUAGUAUUGUGGCUGCAUUUAUAAUGACAACCAUUAUUUAAAUUUAUUUUUUCUACGCUCUUGUUUUCAAUCACACAUUCACGCAAUAAAAUAUUAUAAAUGUAAAAUCAAAACUUUUUCUACUUUUUAAUCAUAUUCUUGAAAAAAUCACUAUUAAAACUUUAUUUUUGCAAAUUAAUAACCAUCAAAUCGUGCCAAAAAUUUUAUGAAUCCUUGUUGAUUUAGGUUUCCUAUAAGCCAAUGAUUAGAUUCCCCCCCCCCCCCCCCCCCCCCAAACUCACCACCUCCUCAUUGAGAACCACUUCCAAACCCACCACCUAAUUGAUGUAUCUAUUUAUGUAUGCUUAGUUUGUUCUUUAUUGGGGGUUGGGGGGUGGGGUGGAUACUAACGAGCUAUUGCCAACAAUAGACAUUGAUAAAGUUACCAAAUCUUAAAUAAACCGACCCAUUUAACCCAGCCUGUGUUGGCAAGGUCCAGGCCCAUUUACAAGAGACUUUUGUUUAGAUUUGGAUUAUAUAAGAGUUGAAAGCUUGAGAGGAGACAAGGAACUAGAAAAGCUAGUAUUGUGUGAAGUGGAGACAUAGAUUUGCUAUUAUUGUAAGGCGGCCAUUUUGAAGUAUCCUGCUUUGUCCAUAUGAAGAGUGAACACAGUUCCAUAAGUAGCUUCCUUUACAUUGAUCAACAAGUUUGAAUCCGAACAAAAAAAAAAAAAAAUUGCACACUCGAUCAAUCUAUUACCUUAGCAGCAAGUUGAUUUUUUUACUAUUUUAUUGUAGUUGCAUGAUCAAUCACCAAUAAAAAUCUCAUGCCAAUUGUCUUAUUUGAAAAAUCCAUGUUUAUUCACAAAAUCCCUAAAAAAUCAAGAUUGCUUUGUUCAUAAAUGUCAUGAUAAAGAGCAAGUUUUUUCUGUUAGGAGAAUAGAAGUAAAAAUAGGAUUAAAGAAUUCAAACAUGGCAAAAUACAAGCAUUAAUCUCGAAUAUCUUAACGAAUUUUAAGUUUGAUUGUAGCUUUUCCAAAAUACAAUAUCAAGCAAAUAUGUUGUAGAAUUAAAUAAACAACAAUGAAAGGAAUAAUUUAAAUGACAAGCAAAAAAUGCAAUGUGUCCUUGGAAAUCAAAUGUACCACAAUGGAGGUGAAAUAUUACUACGAGAUUCCCCUGCAUAAUUUAAUUGAGUGGUUUUGUCUUCCAUAUUAAAUAUUCCCGUGUCAUGGCCACCUCCGCCUGGUUCCUCGAAAUAGAGCUCAUAGUUAUCAUCCGUGAAGUAUAUGCAGUUUGGCUUGAUAGAUUCUGACGAGGCAACUGAUGUAGAUACAUUACUACCUAAGAACAAUGCUUGAUCUCCUAAACUAGUCACUUGAGUUAAUCUAUAUGCAUAAUUACUCCCCUCCUCAUGACAUUCAUCCAGCCUCCAAACAAAAAAGCCAGUUGUAUAGUAUCCAGCUUCUUUCUCCUCUUCGUUGCCACAGUCUUUGACAUCCUCCACCUCAUCAACAUUAACAUUACCAUCAACAUCACCCAUGUCCUCCUCAUUAUCAUCACCCUCUUCCUCAUCGUCAACAUCAUCAUCGAAAUUAAGUGAAAUACCCUUUCGGAAACGAGCAACAAGUAGAAGAUGUCCUGAUGAUUCGACUAGAUACUUCUGAUAUGUAUCAUUCGUUUCAAUUGGAGCAGGGGCGAUAACUAUUGCUUUUGGGCCAUUGGCGUCAUCAAAGUCACAAACAACUACAACUCCAUGAACAUCCACGGCAUAAAAUUUGCCAUUGUAGAAAAUAAUAUCUUGAUAAACGCGAGAUUGGACGGAGAUGUUAGUCCAAACAGUAUCUCCUAAUUUUGUAAAAACCAAUAUAGCAUAUUCUCCAUAAAUAGCAACUAUAGUACAAUCCUCAUUAUAAUCAUGUAAACAUUUAUCCUUAAGAGGGUUUGAGGACAUCACUAUUUUCGCAACAAAGACACCCCAAACCUCUUGUGGCAUGAAUCUCUCAUCAUAUACAUACUGAUCAGGGAGGGUCAGCAUAGGAGGCAGGCAAAUUUGUUGUCUGGAGAAGGGAUGCAAUAAAUUGAUUUGCAAAUCAAUGCCAAUUGUCCACAACCAUCCGUAAUGUGCUCCUGUGCACUUCCUGCCCCUCGCUUCUGGCAACUGGAGUUGGUAUGUCUUUGAGGUUAAUA
Molecule: long non-coding RNA, 5479 nt
Filed under: Olea europaea (common olive)
Lineage: Eukaryota; Viridiplantae; Streptophyta; Magnoliopsida; Lamiales; Oleaceae
Description: long non-coding RNA (OEUR_LNC004690)
Source: RNAcentral